GACGAACGCUGGCGGCGUGCUUAACACAUGCAAGUCGAACGAUGACGCCCGAGCUUGCUCGGUCUGAUUAGUGGCGAACGGGUGAGUAACACGUGAGCAACCUGCCCUUCACUCUGGGAUAACCUCGGGAAAUCGGGGCUAAUACCGGAUAUGAGCUCCUGUCGCAUGGCGGGUUUUGGAAAGUUUUUCGGGGAAGGAUGGGCUCGCGGCCUAUCAGUUUGUUGGUGAGGUAGUGGCUCACCAAGGCGAUGACGGGUAGCCGGCCUGAGAGGGCGACCGGCCCCACUGGGACUGAGACACGGCCCAGCCUCCUACGGGAGGCAGCGGUGGGGAAUAUUGCACAAUGGGCGAAAGCCUGAUGCAGCGACGCCGCGUGAGGGAUGACGGCCUUCGGGUUGUAAACCUCUUUCAGCAGGGAAGAAGCGAAAGUGACGGUACCUGCAGAAGAAGCGCCGGCUAACUACGUG
Molecule: ribosomal RNA, 467 nt
Filed under: uncultured bacterium
Lineage: Bacteria
Description: partial 16S ribosomal RNA
Rfam family: Bacterial small subunit ribosomal RNA
Source: RNAcentral